ACAUACACUGCAUACACUAACAACACACACUGCAUACAAUAACACACACAUACACUGCAUACACUAACACACACAUACACUGCAUACAAUAACACACACAUACACUGCAUACACUAACACAACACACACACUGCAUACAAUAACAGACACAUACACUGCAUACACUAACACACACACAUACACUGCAUACACUAACACACACAUACACUGCAUACACUAACACAACACACACACUGCAUACACUAACACACACAUACACUGCAUACACUAACA
This is a non-coding RNA of Pelobates cultripes (western spadefoot toad), 273 nucleotides long. The record is from the annotation of a GenBank genome assembly. NCBI's taxonomy places the organism in Eukaryota, Metazoa, Chordata, Amphibia, Anura, Pelobatidae.